AUGGGCGAAAGCCUGAUGCAGCAACGCCGCGUGAGGGAUGACGGCCUUCGGGUUGUAAACCUCUUUUAGUAGGGAAGAAGCGAAAGUGACGUUACCUGCAGAAAAAGCACCGGCUAACUACGUGCCAGCAGCCGCGGUAAUACGUAGGGUGCAAGCGUUGUCCGGAAUUAUUGGGCGUAAAGAGCUCGUAGGCGGUUUGUCGCGUCUGCUGUGAAAUCCCGAGGCUCAACCUCGGGCUUGCAGUGGGUACGGGCAGACUAGAGUGCGGUAGGGGAGAUUGGAAUUCCUGGUGUAGCGGUGGAAUGCGCAGAUAUCAGGAGGAACACCGAUGGCGAAGGCAGAUCUCUGGGCCGUAACUGACGCUGAGGAGCGAAAGCAUGGGGAGCGAACAGGAUUAGAUACCCUGGUAGUCCAUGCCGUAAACGUUGGGCGCUAGAUGUAGGGACCUUUCCACGGUUUCUGUGUCGUAGCUAACGCAUUAAGCGCCCCGCCUGGGGAGUACGGGCCGCAAGGCUAAAACUCAAAGGAAUUGACGGGGGCCCGCACAAGCGGCGGAGCAUGCGGAUUAAUUUCAUGCAACGCGAAGAACCCUUACCCAGGCUUGACAUACAGCCGGAACGGCCAGAGAUGGUCGCCCGCCUUUGCUGGUCGGUGUUACAGUGGUGCAU
RNAcentral lists this ribosomal RNA (668 nucleotides) under Curtobacterium flaccumfaciens pv. flaccumfaciens. RNAcentral's name for it is "bacterial SSU rRNA". It matches the Rfam family "Bacterial small subunit ribosomal RNA", at positions 371 to 1046 of the family's 1533-position model. The record is from RNAcentral. Lineage: Bacteria; Bacillati; Actinomycetota; Actinomycetes; Micrococcales; Microbacteriaceae.